CAUUUUAUUGCAAUUAAUACAAAAGCAAAGGUGUGCAUAAAUUUAAUUUGACAUGUUUUAAUUAUUGAGCAUUUAAAACUUAUAUGAGAAAUAAUAAACACUAAAUUUGAUUAUCUAAUUAUUCGAAUGUUUAUGAUUACGUGAAAUAAUGAGUGAAAAGAUAUAUGCAUUUGUGUGUUCCGUGCUUCUCCUCGUCAUUUCGUUAUCGAAAUCGCAGCAAAUUUCCACCAACAAGAAUGAUAAUUUAACGAUACGAUACGAGAUAAAUACGGAUUCUACAACAAAUUAUAACGACGCAAUAAUAACACUGCGACAUAAUUUGCAUAAAAAUUUGAUGAUUAAUACACAGAAUGACAAAAUGCAGCAUGAAUUUUAUAUGAAUAAUAAACGUGAGGUUAAUGAUUUGAUUCAACAUAAACGUCACAAGCAUUCAAUGAAGAAUAAAGAUGAUGAGCAAAAAACGAUAAAAUCUAACAUAAAUUCGACAAAUGUCAAUCAUAAAAAAAUUUUACGCCGCAAGAAAUUUACGAAAAUGUAAUUAAAAAGAAUGAUUCCAUGUCACUUGAAGUCUUCAAAAAUUCCAGCAAAGAUGCUAACGAAACUAACAUCGUCCCAAACGAAAUGUGUCAUAAUGAUACUUGCAUUCGUCUCUGCUGUUCUCUUGGCGAGCGUCUAGUUCAUGGCAACUGCAUUCCUGAAAGAGUUGAAUACAUUUUUCCAAACGUAUACAUGAACGAUUCGACGCAGAGCGAAAAGAGAAUGAACGUAUUGUUUGAGCUAGCCAUUAAUGAUUCGUGCCGGGAAGAUUACUAUCUGCUUUCUAAAAGUUUUCAGUGGGAUUAUAAGAUUUUUACCAACGGUUCUAUAUAUUUACCUUAUUAUAAAAUAUUUGUUGAAUCGACAUCAUAUUGUCUCGCCGUCGUCGACAGGAAUGAGUUCGAAGUAAUCAUCUGUUUUAAAACUUAUGACAAGCUUAAGGAGAUACUUAAUAAAAAGCGAAUGGCGCUUCUGACAACGAUUUAUCAAAAUAUUACGGAAAUAAGUGUCUAUAUAAUACCUAUAUUAUUUUUGGGGUCAGUAUUUCUGGUGUAUUCUAUUAUGCCAGAACUCCAAAAUAAACACGGCUUCAUGUUGCGCAAUUAUAGCGGUGCCGUGUCUGUUGUAUACGGAAUUGAUGUUGUGUAUUUUUUUAUCAAAUCGGAUAUACAGUAUCCCGUCUGCGUUACAAUAGCUUUUUUAAAAUAUUUUUGCUAUAUGGCGAGUUACUUUUGGUUAAGUAUAAUGAGCUUUGAUAUGUGGUUCACAUUCAGCCUGAAGUUUUCCCUGCAAAAUUGUUUUUUAAAAUGUAUAUGUCGAUCUUUCUUUAUCAAGUUAUCGCAAAUUGAAGAGAAAAUGUAAUUUUCAAUUUAAUCGUUCAUAACAUCGUUAAAAAUCAUCGUACAGCAAUUUUAAGAAUGGAUUCUUCAAGCUGAAUCUUUGCUUUACAGUAUAAUAUAGUGACUUGAUGUAAAACACAUUAUUUUAACGUAUUUACAUUCUGAUUUAUGUUAUUUAUUGUUUGCUAAAUAUGUUGUGUAAAUUGCAGAGGAUUCAGUUCGUUAGUAAGAAACGUCAGACAACAAGAAAAAAAAAAGUUGAUAUAUUAUACGAUCUUUGCGUGGGGAUGUCCCUUUAUGCUUGCUAUUUUAUGUGUCAGCAUGGAUAUUCUUUCGGCGUAUGUAAAUGUACCACCGAUUUUGCAACCGGAAUUUCAUUUAGGAGAUUGCUGGUUUUUUAAGAUUGGUCCGCAUUUGUUGUAUUAUUAUGUGCUCAGUAGUAUGUGCGUCAUCAAUAGCAUUUGUUUAUCUAUUUAUACAGCAUUAAAAAUUGCGCGUUUCAAUAAGGAAUUGAAUUCUUGUCUAAAAAAUUCGGAGAGUAAAUGCUUUAACGAUUAUAAAAAAUGGCUCAAUCUAUAUCUGCAGCUAUUUAUCGUACUGUUUAUCGCAAUGGGCAUAGAAUGGCUAAUAAUAACAGCGUCAUUAUUAUAUAAAAAUUUAUCAAUUUACAACAUUAUAUGGUAUGUUGUUAAUUUUAUGGGCAUUAUGCAGAGUUUGUGCAUCUUUGUCAUAUUUGUGUGUAAAAAAAGGAUCAAGCGCAUGUUAUUCAAGCGAUUCGGCUUCGGUUUGUCAUCAAAUGCUUGACACGGAUCAAAUGCAACAUUUUCGAGCAUUCUUACCACGUCAAAAGAAAUAGUCAUGCAGGAAAAGAUGAGUUCUUCCGGACGAGCAAGAAGUCACACUGAUUUAAUCGACCUUUAAUUUUUAUUUAAAAAUUUAAAUCAUGUUUUUUUAUGUCGUUCUUUAUAGUUUAGAUUAAUAAUUAUAAUUCACACAUAUUUUCGCGCGCGCGGAUUUUGUAGCAAAAACAUAUU
Nylanderia fulva is the source of this 2410-nucleotide non-coding RNA. Lineage: Eukaryota; Metazoa; Arthropoda; Insecta; Hymenoptera; Formicidae. The record is from RefSeq and is a predicted model, not a curated record.